RNAcentral lists this transfer RNA (85 nucleotides) under Oscillatoriales cyanobacterium. RNAcentral's name for it is "tRNA-Ser". It matches the Rfam family "tRNA". From Rfam's summary of the family: Transfer RNA (tRNA) molecules are approximately 80 nucleotides in length. Lineage: Bacteria; Bacillati; Cyanobacteriota; Cyanophyceae; Oscillatoriales. RNAcentral also lists the same sequence under 1 other name. The record is from RNAcentral.
GGAGAGGUGGCAGAGCGGUUGAAUGCGCUGCACUCGAAAUGCAGUUUAGGGAAACCUAACGAGGGUUCGAAUCCCUCCCUCUCCG